AGCAGCAUGUAGUGGCUACCCAGUAGAAUAGAAUGAUGAACCUCUAGGUGCAGUUAUCAUGUGAUACAGUCCUACUAUCGUGGAUCCCUACAAGACGGAGGUCAUGGACAACUCGUCAAACCCCAUCGUCUGUCAUAUGUGAAGAUUUAUUCGACUUAAGUUCGAGAGUAGAAAACUCUUUCUCCACUGUGCAUACUGUCCCGGCCGAGGUCUUACGAACUCAGUCUUAUAAAUCACAUAGGAUCUCUCCUUAUCUAUCAAGAUCGAUAGAUUCCUUAUAGGUGCAUACCCUACUCCUACAGUGAACUUACUGCAGCCAAUCUACACUACAUGGACCCAUAUGGCUAGAGACCAUGUAUGUGUGCAGUCAAACUACAAUAACCUCACUGUGAGUAGCCGAAGCACCGCAGGUCAAAGGACCAGUCACACUACUGCAACAUCAAGCAAAGUCACUGACGAGUGGAUAGACAUCCAAGUGACUUCUUGUAUUGGUCACGCUCAGUACCUUUGUUCUUAACAAGCACCUGCACUAUUACUUCAGUGUCGCCACACCGUGGACUCGAGUCUCGUCCAUU
Molecule: long non-coding RNA, 575 nt
Filed under: Phoenix dactylifera (date palm)
Lineage: Eukaryota; Viridiplantae; Streptophyta; Magnoliopsida; Arecales; Arecaceae
Description: long non-coding RNA (PDAC_LNC010187)
Source: RNAcentral